RNAcentral lists this ribosomal RNA (465 nucleotides) under uncultured bacterium. RNAcentral's name for it is "partial 16S ribosomal RNA". It matches the Rfam family "Bacterial small subunit ribosomal RNA", at positions 338 to 795 of the family's 1533-position model. The record is from RNAcentral.
CCUACGGGAGGCAGCCGUAGGGAAUCUUCCACAAUGGGCGCAAGCCUGAUGGAGCAACGCCGCGUGGAUGAAGAAGGUCUUCGGAUCGUAAAACCCUGUUGUUAGAGAAGAGAGUGCGUGGGAGUCACUGUUCACGUUUCGACGUUAUCUCACCAGAACGCCACGGCUAACUACGUGCCAGCAGCCGCGGUAAUACGUAGGUGGCAAGCGUUAUCCGGAUUUAUUGGGCGUAAAUGGAACGCAGGCGGUCUUUUAAGGCUGAUGUGACAGCCUUGGGCUUAACCGGAGUAGUGCAUUGGAGACUGGGAGACUUGAGUGCAGAAGAGGAGAGUGGAACUCCAUGUGUAGCGGUGAAAUGCGUAGAUAUAUGGAAGAACACCAGUGGCGAAAGCGGAUCUCUGGUCGGUAACUGACGCUGAGGUUCGAAAGCGUGGGUAGCAAACAGGAUUAGAUACCCUUGUAGUC